GAGGAGGGGAAGAAAUGAUAAAAGAAAAAAAAAAAAAAAAAAAAGAGCGAAACUAAUGGUAUUGACAGUGUAGCAAGUAGUGAGGCAGAGGUUUGGAGAAAGAGGAAGAAAAUCUUCAGGGGGAAUCGGGGCCAGGAUGGAAAGGAGAGGAGGAGAGAUGAAGGAAUGGCAGGCAAGGAAGGCUGCCUGUGUUGCGGCCUGAAUCCUAGCAGGGACAGGCUUUGAGAAGAUGUUUUAAGUGUGGCCAGGCUGGCCACUUCGGGUAGGAAUAUCUGGAGUGGAAGAAGGAGGAGAGAAGGAAAA
Oxyura jamaicensis (ruddy duck) is the source of this 303-nucleotide long non-coding RNA. RefSeq lists it as uncharacterized. NCBI's taxonomy places the organism in Eukaryota, Metazoa, Chordata, Aves, Anseriformes, Anatidae. The transcript has 3 exons. The record is from RefSeq and is a predicted model, not a curated record.